UACGUAGGGGGCAAGCGUUGUCCGGAAUCAUUGGGCGUAAAGCGCGUGUAGGCGGCCCGGUAAGUCCGCUGUAAAAGUCCAGGGCUCAACCCUGGAAAGCCGGUGGAUACUGUCGGGCUCGAGUCCGGAAGAGGCGAGUGGAAUUCCUGGUGUAGCGGUGAAAUGCGCAGAUAUCAGGAGGAACACCGGUGGCGAAGGCGGUUCUCUGGGCCUUACCUGACGCUGAGGAGCGAAAGCGUGGGGAGCAAACAGG
Molecule: ribosomal RNA, 253 nt
Filed under: uncultured bacterium
Lineage: Bacteria
Description: partial 16S ribosomal RNA
Rfam family: Bacterial small subunit ribosomal RNA
Source: RNAcentral